Molecule: ribosomal RNA, 434 nt
Filed under: uncultured bacterium
Lineage: Bacteria
Description: partial 16S ribosomal RNA
Rfam family: Bacterial small subunit ribosomal RNA
Source: RNAcentral
AUCGAACGCUGGCGGCAGGCCUAACACAUGCAAGUCGAACGAACCUUUCGGGGUUAGUGGCGGACGGGUGAGUAACACGUGGGAACGUGCCUUUAGGUUCGGAAUAACUCAGGGAAACUUGUGCUAAUACCGAAUGUGCCCUUCGGGGGAAAGAUUUAUCGCCUUUAGAGCGGCCCGCGUCUGAUUAGCUAGUUGUUUGAGGUAAUGGCUCACCAAGGCGACGAUCAGUAGCUGGUCUGAGAGGAUGAUCAGCCACAUUGGGACUGAGACACGGCCCAAACUCCUACGGGAGGCAGCAGUGGGGAAUCUUGCGCAAUGGGCGAAAGCAUGACGCAGCCAUGCCGCGUGAAUGAUGAAGGUCUUAGGAUUGUAAAAUUCUUUCACCGGGGACGAUAAUGACGGUACCCGGAGAAGAAGCCCCGGCUAACUUCGUG